CUUGUUUUCGGCUGGGUUUUGGGGAAUUUUUGGACCAGUCUAGGUUCAUCAAAAGUUAAAAUCAAAAUAAUCUUUUUUUUAGGUUGUAGUCAUGUAAUAGCUCUUUAUUAUUUAUAUUUCUUUAAGUAUUUUCAUUAAUAGUAAUACAGACAUGAAUUUUAGGUUGUAAUACUCUUUAUUAUUUAUACAUAAACAAUUUUUGAUAUAAUGAACUUGUUGGAAUUUUCAGGUGCAUAAAUGUAUCUUUAUUUGGGCAAAAUGGGAGGCACUCAGGCUGCCAAAUGGGAUCUGGGCUGGCAUAAUAUAUUGGAGUGGAUUUCAGCUUAUGAACUACAGUCCAACAGAAGCAAUGUGACAAACUGCUAUGAACCUUUUUGACUUGCAAGACUACACGUAUGUUAAGCUGGAUUGCCUUGAUGAGUUGGAGAUUACAAAAUUCGGUAACAUGAAACCUGGAAUGGGUUUUUUGAAGCUUAUAUUGGCAAAGUCAUGUAUGCUAAAGAAAUUGCAGUGAUAUGAAGAAGUUGACUGGUAAGGCAUCUUGCAGAAUUUGCCACCAGAACUUCAGCGCUACUGUCACAGGUUAGGCGUUUCGCCAUAUUGUGCCUCUUCGACUCCAACUGGUGCCUACACAAAGAAGAAUACGAAUUCAGAAAGUAUGUGUCCAGCAGGCUGGUCUUUGGGCAUAACUGAUGGCUUUAGUGGUGAGUGAUCCAUGCUGUGAUUAUUUCAGACAAAAAAAUGAGUGAACUAUGAAGACUGCUUCUCAAGUUCUCUUUAUAUAGAACACAACUGCAGCAGUUAUGUAGGAACAUGGACAGAAAAACUGCUCAAACGUGGGAUGGUGCUGCUCAGAACUGCUGU
RNAcentral lists this long non-coding RNA (864 nucleotides) under Helianthus annuus (common sunflower). Lineage: Eukaryota; Viridiplantae; Streptophyta; Magnoliopsida; Asterales; Asteraceae. The record is from RNAcentral.